Long non-coding RNA from Daphnia magna, 559 nucleotides. RefSeq lists it as uncharacterized. NCBI's taxonomy places the organism in Eukaryota, Metazoa, Arthropoda, Branchiopoda, Diplostraca, Daphniidae. The record is from RefSeq and is a predicted model, not a curated record. The transcript is spliced from 2 exons.
AUCUAAAAGACCUAGGACUCUGCCCCGGUGCAAAUAUGGGUUGACCUUGAUGAGCUGAAAAAUGAGUUGAUGAGAGAAAAAAGUGAAAAAUAAUACAUUUUCUGUGUCACCGUUCCAGCACGUUCCGUUGUUAGCUGGCCAGUCAACCCAUAUUUGCACCGGGCACCGGGGCCGAGCGCUAAGUAAACCUCUUUUACGGUGCGGCCGGUGCGACGGUGCUGCGGAGUAGACCACGACCACAGCAGAAUUCUUGAAGUCUGGCAAUGUCAAAAUCCGCCAUGAUGUUUGGAUGAAGGUGUUUUUCGCUGUUCGCCCUCACUUUUCCAUAGAAGAUUCGAUUAACGACGCAGCCAACAUCUCAACAGUUAACGAUGCCAACAAACAGAGAAAAUGAAAAAAUAAAAGUGAAAAUUUACUUGGAAACCCACAGAGAGUUCGUAUCAUGGUAUGGUAUAAUACCAUGGUUCGUAUUAUACAAUCCAAUAGCUUAUUUUUCCGGUGCUUAAUCACAGGAAUUUUUCGAAAUAAAUCCUUGUAGGUAUCUCCUAAACCAUGUUAA